Molecule: ribosomal RNA, 492 nt
Filed under: uncultured bacterium
Lineage: Bacteria
Description: partial 16S ribosomal RNA
Rfam family: Bacterial small subunit ribosomal RNA
Source: RNAcentral
AGUGAACGCUGGCGGUAGGCCUAACACAUGCAAGUCGAACGGCAGCACAGUAAGAGCUUGCUCUUACGGGUGGCGAGUGGCGGACGGGUGAGGAAUACAUCGGAAUCUACUUUUUCGUGGGGGAUAACGUAGGGAAACUUACGCUAAUACCGCAUACGACCUACGGGUGAAAGCAGGGGAUCUUCGGACCUUGCGCGAUUGAAUGGGCCGAUGUCGGAUUAGCUAGUUGGCGGGGUAAAGGCCCACCAAGGCGACGAUCCGUAGCUGGUCUGAGAGGAUGAUCAGCCACACUGGAACUGAGACACGGUCCAGACUCCUACGGGAGGCAGCAGUGGGGAAUAUUGGACAAUGGGCGCAAGCCUGAUCCAGCCAUACCGCGUGGGUGAAGAAGGCCUUCGGGUUGUAAAGCCCUUUUGUUGGGAAAGAAAAGCAGCAGGUUAAUACCCCGCUGUCCUGACGGUACCCAAAGAAUAAGCACCGGCUAACUUCGUG